ACAACGACUCUCGGCAACGGAUAUCUCGGCUCUCGCAUCGAUGAAGAACGUAGCGAAAUGCGAUACUUGGUGUGAAUUGCAGAAUCCCGUGAACCAUCGAGUCCUUGAACGCAAGUUGCGCCCGAAGCCAUCCGGCCGAGGGCACGUCUGCCUGGGCGUCACGC
RNAcentral lists this ribosomal RNA (164 nucleotides) under Punica granatum (pomegranate). Its description in RNAcentral is "5.8S ribosomal RNA". It matches the Rfam family "5.8S ribosomal RNA". From Rfam's summary of the family: 5.8S ribosomal RNA (5.8S rRNA) is a component of the large subunit of the eukaryotic ribosome. It is transcribed by RNA polymerase I as part of the 45S precursor that also contains 18S and 28S rRNA. The record is from RNAcentral. Lineage: Eukaryota; Viridiplantae; Streptophyta; Magnoliopsida; Myrtales; Lythraceae.